Molecule: non-coding RNA, 107 nt
Filed under: Dehalogenimonas alkenigignens
Lineage: Bacteria; Bacillati; Chloroflexota; Dehalococcoidia; Dehalococcoidales; Dehalococcoidaceae
Description: TPP sequence
Rfam family: TPP riboswitch aptamer (THI element)
About the family: Vitamin B(1) in its active form thiamin pyrophosphate (TPP) is an essential coenzyme that is synthesised by coupling of pyrimidine and thiazole moieties in bacteria.
Source: Rfam by way of RNAcentral
UAUCGUUACUGGGGGAGCUGAAAGGCUGAGAGUUCCCGGCAACACCGGGAAGACCCUUGGAACCUGGUCUCGGUAAUUCGAGCGAAGGGAAGUACCACACUCCAACA